This is a small nuclear RNA of Oryctolagus cuniculus (rabbit), 163 nucleotides long. Its record names the gene U1. It matches the Rfam family "U1 spliceosomal RNA". Rfam says of the family: U1 is a small nuclear RNA (snRNA) component of the spliceosome (involved in pre-mRNA splicing). Its 5' end forms complementary base pairs with the 5' splice junction, thus defining the 5' donor site of an intron. There are significant differences in sequence and secondary structure between metazoan and yeast U1 snRNAs, the latter being much longer (568 nucleotides as compared to 164 nucleotides in human). NCBI's taxonomy places the organism in Eukaryota, Metazoa, Chordata, Mammalia, Lagomorpha, Leporidae. The record is from Ensembl.
AUACUUACCUGGCAGGGGAGACACCGUGAUCAGGCAGGUGGUUCUCCCAGGGCGAGGCUCUUCCAUUGCACUGCGAAGUGCUGACCCCUGGGAUUUCCCCAAAUGUGGGAAACUCAACUGCAGAAUUUGUGGUAGUGGGGGACUGUGUGCGCGCUCUCCCCUG